UAGUUGCAGACUGCAUGGACGAGGCUCCGAACCCUCGAGCGCUGGCGGGAUGAAUUCAAGCCGAACCAGAGACGAGACAAACAGGCGUAGAUGAACGUCUGAAAAUUGCAGAUUUCCCGAGGUUUUCAUUUUUACCAUGAAAAGAUGGGCUUGGCUGUUGGACCGACAUCAGUGUGGUUAACUGCAGUGCGCCGCACCUUCACAGAGCUACUCAGUGUGUUUGACAGGACGAUAUUACAAACAUCAGAGUCUGCAGGUUCCCCCUCUCUGCCGGCUGCAUUUGCCUCAUUUGGCCAACUUAUUUUGGAACACCUUAGAGGUACAAAACCAAUUUCUUUUUAAUUCUCCAACCAUAAUUCAUUUGUCCAUUUAAAAUCAAGAAUAAAUUUUGUUUAAAGUGAAAGCCUAGUGUGUAAUUAUACAAACUGAAAAUUGCUUUUCCUGAACAUUUCCUGAACAGUGUCGUAACGCACUUCUUAAUAUGCGUACUUGACCGUACUUGCGUUCUGGCAUAGUCGUUUUAUGUCAUCUUCCAUUGCUGAAAAUCAGUUCUAAUACUAAGAACAAAAGUACAGAGGAUGGUGAAACCCCCAGAUACCCCCACCCCAAAUAUCAAGGAUACAUUGGUUGCAUCCUCGGCGAAUGACACAAAUCUCAUUAUUCAUUGUGCUCCAAGUUCAUUCUUGGGAGACAAGUUAGCAGGACCGGUUUUGCCAAGACCGCAAGUACGAUUUUUGCAUUCUUGGUAUUGAGAAACACCCUCUGUGAUUAGCCCGUUGCAGCAUCACAUGACAGGCAGGCAUUGUCAUGGAUGUCAUGGACCAUGUCUGUGGGCCUGAUAGCAGCAAUAAUCCUCACUGUGCCCCCCCCCCCCCCCCUUUACAGAUCUGCAGCUCCAAAAAGCUCUCAGCCUUCAGCCAACGACAGAUCAAUACCUGUGAUUAAUUAACUUCUAACAAGAUCCCUGGCUGCUAGAAGCCUGAAAGGCUGUGGUGUCCAAGGCUCCCAAUUCAACCUGGCACUCAGUGAUACCCCCCCACCCCCAUCCUGGUCGGAAAUCCAUCACUUCUCUACCUAUGCUUUUUCCUGGUUCCAUCUUUCUCCUCCAUUCUUCACUGCAAACCAACCUCCAUGCGAAAAUUAAUAUUUGUUUUUCAGAGGUUAUUAGCUGCCUUGGGGUGAAAAAUUCUCCUUUGGCUCAAGUGAGCUAAUGGACAGAUACUCAGGCGAUAUGUGGUAUCUGGUUCAUCUACUUGUAUGCUAGACCCUGUUCCUACAAGUUUACUCAAAGAAAUGACCUCAGCAGUGAUUGAACCACUACUAGCAAUAGUUAACUCCUCAAUCAGCAUUAGCCAUCUGCCAAAAUCUCUUCAACUAGCAGUAAUUAAACAUUUGUUGAAAAAGCCAAACUUGGAUCCCUUGGAAAUGAUAAACUAUAGACCAGGGGUCACCAACUCCGGUCCUGGAGAGCUACUAUCCAGUAGG
Paramormyrops kingsleyae is the source of this 1485-nucleotide long non-coding RNA. RefSeq lists it as uncharacterized. NCBI's taxonomy places the organism in Eukaryota, Metazoa, Chordata, Actinopteri, Osteoglossiformes, Mormyridae. The record is from RefSeq and is a predicted model, not a curated record.